CUUAUACUCCCUCCGUCCGGAAAUACUUGUCAUCAAAAUGAAUAAAAGGAGAUGUAUCUAGAUGUAUUUUAGUUGUAGAUACAUCCAUUUUUGUCCAUUUUGAUGACAAGUAUUUUCGGACGGAGGAAGUACGUU
Molecule: non-coding RNA, 135 nt
Organism: Triticum aestivum (bread wheat)
Lineage: Eukaryota; Viridiplantae; Streptophyta; Magnoliopsida; Poales; Poaceae
Source: Rfam